This 2415-nucleotide ribosomal RNA is filed under the name Metacrangonyx sp. 3 ssp. 1 MDMBR-2012. RNAcentral describes it as "partial 18S ribosomal RNA". It matches the Rfam family "Eukaryotic small subunit ribosomal RNA", at positions 1 to 1626 of the family's 1831-position model. The record is from RNAcentral. Lineage: Eukaryota; Metazoa; Arthropoda; Malacostraca; Amphipoda; Metacrangonyctidae.
CUGUAUACCCUGAUGGCGCCGCUUGAGUGCGUGCGACCGCUCGUGCUCCUGCGUGUUUUUUUGCCUGACGGGUGCUUUUAUUAGACCAAACAUCGCUGGCGGCGCAAGCCGCUAGGCUCGUGAAAUGGUGACUCUGGAUAACCUUCUGACAAGCGCACGUACUUCAUUAUUCAUGGAGACGGCGCUGCCACUUUCGAGUGUCUGCCUUAUCAGCUAUCAACCGUUCGUUAUGUGCGACCGAUGGCUUUGACGGGUAACGGGGAAUCAGGGUUCGAUUCCGGAGAGGCAGCCUGAGAAACGGCUACCACGUCCAAGGACGGCAGCAGGCACGCAAAUUACCCAAUCCCAGCACCUGGGGGAGGUAGUGACGAAAUCUAACGAUGCGGGCGCCCAUUCUGGGCCUCGCAAUCGGAAUGAGCAUUUUCUAAACAACCUGUUGAGAACCUACUGAAGGGCAAGUCUGGUGCCAGCAGCCGCGGUAAUUCCAGCUUCAGCAGCAUAUAUUAAAGUUGCUGCGGUUAAAAGGCUCGCAGUUGAAUGUCAGUGUUGGGCGACGGUAAGGUGGACGCUGGAGCAUGGGAACUAAGCGCGCCAGCGUGCAGCUCGCGUGUGGCGUGUGGCCCGUGGCGUAGCGCCGUAACACGCGCGAAACCCUCGCCCCGCCGCGCGCGUCUCUCGCUGGCGUCUCUCACAAGCUCCCGUCUGUUACAAGCCUCCUCGCUCCAGUACAUGGGCGGUAACGACUCUCCUCGGAUUGCGCGAGCGCGCUCUUUUCUCCUAGCCUCGCGAAAGCCGUCUCUUCCCGUCGCGCACGUGUGCCAUCAUGUGUGCGCGUGCCUGGGAGCUUCGGUGUCUGUAGCUUGGCGCUCACGGGGAGGCGCGUCUUCGUGCCGAGGAGUGGGACGCGGUCAAAGAAGACGGCAGCAAUGUCGUCGUGCGCGCGGGCCAGAGUGCGUGUCCGAGGCGCGCGUGUGCUGUCUGCUGCGUGUGUGUGUGUGCGUGUGCGCGCGGUUGCUCUAGUGGCACCGUCGUCGUCACGCGCGCGCGCGCCGCUCUUACACGCUCGCGCGCGCUCUCCCUCGCACGUCUCCCGCGUGGCGCGCGUCCCUGUCUGUGUGUUGCUGCAUUGUCACCUUGAGUAAAUCGGAGUGCUCAAAGCAGUCGUAAAGGGCCUCGGCCCUGUGAUAAGUCUUGACGGACUGUCUUGAUUUUGCAUGGUAUGUCGGAAAACGACGUCGAGUGCUGGCUCAGAGUCUAUAGAAGUGGUUUCAAGCCAAAGCCUCGACGUAAUGAUUAAAAGGAACGGUCGAGGGCAUUGGUAUUGCGAGGCGAGAGGUGAAAUUCUAUGACCCCCGCAAGACCGCCUGAAGCGAAAGCGUCUGCCAAGGACGUUUUCAUUAAUCAUGAACGAAAGUUAGAGGAUCGAAGGCGAUCAGAUACCGCCCUAGUUCUGACCCUAAACGAUGCCAACCAUCAAUCCGCGUGAGCACCCUUUUUGACGGGCUCGGCGGGCAGCUCUCUUUUCACGGGAAACCAGAGUCUCUGGGUUCCGGGGGGAGUCUGGUUGCAAAGCUGAAACUUAAAGGAAUUGACGGAAAGGCACCACCAGGAGUGGAGCCUGCGGCUUAAUUUGACUCAACACGGGCCAUCUCACCAGGCCAGAACUCUAGCACGAUUGACAGAUUGAGAGCUCUUUCUCGAUUGAGUGGAUGGUGGUGCAUGGCCGUUCUUAGUUGGUGGAGUGAUCUGUCUGGUUAAUUCCGAUAACGAACGAGACUCUCCCCUGCUAACUAGUCGGUUGGAUCUUGUAUUUCGAUGCGAGUCGUGCGCCGGGUUUUCCUUCGCCUCGCGGCAGCGGUUCGAGUUUUUCCGGUCUCUCGCUGGGUGCGUGUGUGUGUGUGCUUGCGCGCGCGCGUGCGCGCGUGUGCGUGCCUUUUUUGUCUCAGGUCAUGUUUCUCUCAAGGAAGUGUGUGCCUGGGCGAGAGAGUGUGCGCGCGCGUGUGUGUGUGUGUGCGUGGGUGUGUGCGCGCGCGCCUCGGCGCUGUUGGCCGGGCUCUGCCGUUCUCGUUGCUUGGCGUGUCUGGUUUUCCCGGGUCGUACACUCCAAGUCCGCCGCUUAUGCUAUAAAACUCUUCUUAGAGGGAUCAACGGCUCUGAAGCCGUACGAGACUGAGAGCAAUAACAGGUCUGUGAUGCCCUUAGAUGUUCUGGGCCGCACGCGCGCUACAAUGCCGGGCACAGCAGGUGUUUUCCCUACUCCGAAAGGAGCGGGCAACCCUCUGAAAGCCCCAUCUCGUAUAUCAAAUGUAUCGGCCGGCGAGCACACAAACGCUCGUCGGUCGUGUGUGUGUUGGCGUGCUUGGGCCUGGGGCUUGCAAUUCUUUCCCACAAACGAGGAAUGCCUAGUAGCGGCGG